UCAAACUUACUGUGGUAACUAGCAUAACCUGCUUUCUGGAAUACCCCCCUGGUUUUCCUCCUUCAGAGCAGCCUAAAGCAAAAGGUCAGCAUUACUUGAACACCGCCAUGUGCAACAGCAGAUGGAGCUAUAACCGAAAGAAACUUAUUUGGCUAUCCAGUUUCCCAAGCUCACUGUUUUCAGAAGAAGACUGUGUUCUCCUUUUAACGGACAGAGCUGCUCGCCGCCAUCAUUUAGCAGUCAAUUGAAUUUAAAGGCUCACCGCUGAUGUCAGCUUGGAUCAGUGACACGACAGCGAGUCACAGUCUAUUGUCACACACGGCAUCAGCAGAGCUGAGCAGCCAUUUAUGACUCGAUUUGUUUUGAUGGAUUCAAAAGACAUGCAUUCUAGGAAUUCUGAGUCAGUCAAAAAGUCAAAAGAGUUCCUGCCGCAUCUGUGCUUGUCUCAGAAACAAGUCAUGACAUGAUGGCGAGCAUGUGCAACAGGCAGACUUAAGGAAAACAAUUUUUUCUUCAGGUUUUCUUAUCUUCCUUCAGAAAUAUGAAUCAUUUCCUGAAGGCAGCAUGCCACCUAAACUCAAAUAUUAACAUUUUUGCAGUUCCUGAUGUUUUAAUUAAGCAAACCUCAUGCAGCUACUGCAUUCCUUCAGCCUACCACAAGACCACACAUGCAGCCCUUCAGCGCAGAGCCGAUGCGAGCUGAAAGCAGAGGUCUGUGCUGGGUAAUUUACAACAGCGUCUCAUGGGAUAACUCGGUAAACUGGUUGCCAGGACCAUUUCAGCAGCUUUCAUUUAAAGGCCAACCCAGACAGGAAAACCACAGUGAUUAACCAUUAAACCACAUACCUCACAUGCACCUCUUCUUCUUCAACCACUAGCAUGCCAUUGCACCACACAAAAAAGCUAAAAACCACUUAAUAAUGAAUCAAAACAUCUCCAUUACAUUCGUUUCUGUCUAAGAUUAACUAUUUGGCACAAAUGAGACGGUCCGUUUUCAUGUGGAGUUUUUAGUUCAAUACGUUCUUGCCUGAAAGCACGUUUUGGAGGAUAACAUAGAAGAAGAUGACACCCAGCCUCACCGUGCAGAACAGUCUGAGUGGUAACAGGCUGGCAGCAGCCAGCAGGUCAGGACCGGUUGAAACCUGUACGGAUCGACUGCAACUGACACUUCCUCCCUCCACCCAGCAGUGCAGCAUCGGGCAGGUCCAGGAAGAGCUGGGCGGUUAUCUUCAGACACAGUUAGACACAAGGAGAGACUGACAGAAACACACAAGUCCUCAUGAGUCAGCUAAAUUAUUACCAAGUCUCACAAGAUUGUGCUGCAUUAAAGGACUGUUGGAAAUACGA
Oryzias latipes (Japanese medaka) is the source of this 1347-nucleotide non-coding RNA. The record is from RefSeq and is a predicted model, not a curated record. NCBI's taxonomy places the organism in Eukaryota, Metazoa, Chordata, Actinopteri, Beloniformes, Adrianichthyidae.